Molecule: ribosomal RNA, 253 nt
Filed under: uncultured bacterium
Lineage: Bacteria
Description: partial 16S ribosomal RNA
Rfam family: Bacterial small subunit ribosomal RNA
Source: RNAcentral
UACGUAGGGGGCUAGCGUUGUCCGGAAUCAUUGGGCGUAAAGCGCGUGUAGGCGGUCCGGUAAGUCCGCUGUGAAAGUCGGGGGCUCAACCCUCGAAUGCCGGUGGAUACUGUCGGGCUUGAGUGCGGGAGAGGCGAGUGGAAUUCCUGGUGUAGCGGUGAAAUGCGCAGAUAUCAGGAGGAACACCGAUUGCGAAGGCAGCUCGCUGGAACGUUACUGACGCUGAGGCGCGAAAGCCAGGGGAGCAAACGGG